CCCUUUUAGAGGAGGGAUUGUAAACAGAAUUGUCCAUGAAAAUGGAAAACGUCUUGCACAUCCUAAAAAGUGCUGGGCUGUCGCUGUGCAGGGGUCGCUCCCGCUCCACCUCCUCUGAUUAAACACUGACACGCUGAGCAAAGCCUCCAGGCAAGCCUUCCAUAUUCAUCAGACAGCGGCUUUAUCAGGAAAGGAGGCAUUUUGGGGGAAUGUCAAUACGAAUAUUACAGUCUCUUUGCUCUUUGUAUCGUCCCCUAAACCGUCUGAGUGAAGUUGCAGGAGAUAAUGUACAAUUAUGCUGUCACUGAAGUUUGGGGAGCCUGUUUGCAGGAGCUUUGGAGAGACAUCCUUCCAGGCACGCAAUGAAAGCGUGGAAGAUGUGACUGGACCAAGAAGAGGAGAUCCUGAAAACUCACAUGCCUGCUUUCAGGAAUGUCUCAGGAUGACUCAGAGGCAUCCAGUACCAUCCUAAGGAUACAGCAGAACAUGUCCUGCUCCUCUAGCUGCUGUGGGUUGUCUUUGGUGUGGAGGCCUUGGGGAUCCCAUCUUGCCUGGCUCCUCCUCGCACAGGGACCAGAUUUGGGUGCAGCCUUGGGUGGGAUGAGUUCUUGGGCCUGGGAAUGAGGGUUUUUGCACUCUGCUGUGGUUUUGGAGAGAAGACCCUUCUCUCAUCACACACCUUGUUUCCUGGUUUAGUUGCUGACAAAUUCUGAGGAGGACUCUGUGGCAGCACAGUGGAGGUGAGGCUGUGACAUUUUGCAGCCUUGGGGACAGUCUCCCUUUGCCUCUUUUGUUUUUGUGAGUGAUGUCCCCGUUUAGGGAUAAAUAAUAUUUUUCGUUCUAUUUAUUAUUAAUUUCUCCCAUUUAAUAUUUAAACGUGGUCCAAGUUUAAAUCACACAGUCUGGAAGAGCUGGAGCUGGGAGAGCUGCUGAGCCUGAGGCAGCACUGGGAGAACACAGAGGGGGAAGGGUUUUAACUGUCCUGUUGCUGCUGGGGUGGAUUAACCUCUUCCUUGCCAAGAGUCUCUCCUGAUGGCUGCUCCAGCUGGAACGAGGCAGGGUCAGGGUGGCUGGUGCAGCAGUCUGGGGCUGCAUUAAUCUAACAUCCAUAUGGAGUUGUGGUAGGUGUCACUUGGUGCAGUGAGGACCUGGGAUUGCUGACCCACAAGGGCUCUCCCACCUCUUUAUUUUCCCCUUCUGAGAAGGCAAAAUCCAUUUACUCUUGACAGACCCCUUUGUGCAGCAGCAUGGAGCCAGACUAAUGCCUGGUGGGACUGGGAUGAAGCCUCUUCUCAGCUGUGCGGUGCCAGAGGGUUGGGAAGACCUUGCAGAGAGGGGCUCCUCUGCCCCAUGCUGUCAUGGUCAAGCUUCUUGGGGCUCUGCUAAACCUCAUUCUCUCCUUCUCCCAGGGCAGAAAGCUGAUCUGCUCACAUAUGGGAGCAAAGCUGGGCUCCAAACACUGGCUCCUGGUAGCAAAAAUGAAGCUGCUGGGCAGGAGGGAGAGGAGAUGACGGAGCCUGGAGGAGUGGUGGGUCUUUUUGAUCUAAAGUGGGCCCAGUCUCCUGAAUCACAGCUUUGAAAGAUGACAGAGCCCAUUCCAUGGAGAUGGUGGGUGCUGGAAUGGUGGGUGUGAGAGGAAGGAGCCCACACUCCAACCAAGAUGAACAAGCCCCAGAGGGAAGCACAGCACUGCCAGAAACCAGCAGCAAGAAACUUAUUUUAUUCUCAGGCAAGUCUCUGAUAAAGGAAGAAUUUUUCCUGUUGUAAAACAGGGGAUGUGCAAAAAAAUGUAGAAUGGAUUUAUCCGGGUGACUGUUAAGAGUUAAUCGAUAAAA
Long non-coding RNA from Pseudopipra pipra, 1835 nucleotides. RefSeq lists it as uncharacterized. Lineage: Eukaryota; Metazoa; Chordata; Aves; Passeriformes; Pipridae. The transcript has 3 exons. The record is from RefSeq and is a predicted model, not a curated record.